RNAcentral lists this ribosomal RNA (497 nucleotides) under uncultured bacterium. RNAcentral's name for it is "partial 16S ribosomal RNA". It matches the Rfam family "Bacterial small subunit ribosomal RNA", at positions 28 to 507 of the family's 1533-position model. The record is from RNAcentral.
GAUGAACGCUGGCGGCGUGCCUAAUACAUGCAAGUCGAGCGAACAGACGAGGAGCUUGCUCCUCUGACGUUAGCGGCGGACGGGUGAGUAACACGUGGAUAACCUACCUAUAAGACUGGGAUAACUUCGGGAAACCGGAGCUAAUACCGGAUAAUAUAUUGAACCGCAUGGUUCAAUAGUGAAAGACGGUUUUGCUGUCACUUAUAGAUGGAUCCGCGCCGCAUUAGCUAGUUGGUAAGGUAACGGCUUACCAAGGCGACGAUGCGUAGCCGACCUGAGAGGGGGAUCGGCCACACUAGAGCUGAGACACGGUCCAGACUCCUACGGGAGGCAGCAGUAGGGAAUCUUCCGCAAUGGGCGAAAGCCUGACGGAGCAACGCCGCGUGAGUGAUGAAGGUCUUCGGAUCGUAAAACUCUGUUAUUAGGGAAGAACAAAUGUGUAAGUAACUAUGCACGUCUUGACGGUACCUAAUCAGAAAGCCACGGCUAACUACGUG